RNAcentral lists this long non-coding RNA (1262 nucleotides) under Anser cygnoides (Swan goose). RNAcentral describes it as "lncRNA (ENSACDG00005009970.1)". The record is from RNAcentral. Lineage: Eukaryota; Metazoa; Chordata; Aves; Anseriformes; Anatidae.
CUUAGUGUAAGCACUGCUCUACAACAAUUAAAACAUCAGAGUGUUAUCAACAUUAUUCUCAUCCUAAAUCCAAAACAUAGCACCCUACCAGCUACUAGGAGGAAGAUUAACUCUAUCCUAGCUGAAACCAGGACAAAUUGUAACAGGGUUAAACUUUAAUUGUUGGCAGAAUCUUUGAUAACCUCUUUGACAGAUGUUUCCUAAAGUAAAACAGUCAUGUAAAUAUUAGCUAUGGUGUAAUAAAAUAAAAUAUAGUAAAAUAUUAGAUCAUCCAGAAAGGUGCCAACAUUAUCCAACUACCACUAGAACAACUGUGCUAAUAGGUUACCAGCCUAGUCUAGUUUUUUCUUAGUCUAUACUAUCCCACAAAACAAAGAACUUAAAAAAUUUAAAAGAGGAAAGAAAGUGAAUUUCCCAAUUAAAAGAAACCCACUAUACAAAUACAUAGAAUUCAUAUUAAGAAAUUCUUUUGUAUAAAUGCACUGCCCUUGUAGCAGGUCAGUAUGUAGAAGACAUACUGAAAAGAUUCUUCUCUCCCUUUAUGACUAUAUGAGUGUCACACAAGUAGGUUCUCUCAUUAGAUAUGCACCAAGCUUCAGGCCUACCACAGAGUUAGUCCAUUAACAAACACUUUGUUGUUAAAUAUUUCAUUGUUAUGAGCUCAUGCUUAAACCUAAAGAGCAAUCUGUGAAACAAUGGAGUGUUAAAGAUUUUACUGCCCAUAAAACAACAUGAGAGUAACUUUUAGAAAUCUGCAGAAGAAUUCUGGAAAAGGAUGGCUUUCUUUGCCUUUUAUUGCUUCUUGGUGAAUAAUUUCUGUUUACGAACUCCCUACAGUAAUGCAGAGGAUCAAUAUUAAAUCUAUUGUGCAAAUGAAAUGAUAGGAAACUCUGAAGCUUGUUACCCAACUGUCUUCAGUCCCUUUAAGAUGGUGCCUCUGCAAACGUGAACACAGCAUGACUGAGAAGAUCCUGUUUGUGGACCUUGACUCAACCUUGGAUUAUUUAUUACUCAACGAAAUUUUGUACAGCCACUGCAAACCUCUGGGAGAUUGCCUGUGGCAGUAUGUCCUUGUUCAUGAGGAACUCAUCAAUAUGUGCAAAUCCACAGUCCUCACUCAGCUCCAAACCCCAAAGCUUAUUGCCCUGAAGGAGUUGCCUUCUGUAUUUGGAGACUGGGAUUUCAGAGUAUCCAAGGGGUCUUCGUGGGAAGAGAAAACAAUAUGGACAGCUGGGGAUGGAGAAAGACUCCCACUUCUCUGA